Molecule: ribosomal RNA, 497 nt
Filed under: uncultured bacterium
Lineage: Bacteria
Description: partial 16S ribosomal RNA
Rfam family: Bacterial small subunit ribosomal RNA
Source: RNAcentral
GAUGAACGCUGGCGGCGUGCCUAAUACCUGCAAGUCGAGCGAACGGACGAGAAGCUUGCUUCUCUGAUGUUAGCGGCGGACGGGUGAGUAACACGUGGAUAACCUACCUAUAAGACUGGGAUAACUUCGGGAAACCGUAGCUAAUACCGGAUAAUAUUUUGAACCGCAUGGUUCAAAAGUGAAAGACGGUCUUGCUGUCACUUAUAGAUGGAUCCGCGCUGCAUUAGCUAGUUGGUAAGGUAACGGCUUACCAAGGCAACGAUGCAUAGCCGACCUGAGAGGGUGAUCGGCCACACUGGAACUGAGACACGGUCCAGACUCCUACGGGAGGCAGCAGUAGGGAAUCUUCCGCAAUGGGCGAAAGCCUGACGGAGCAACGCCGCGUGAGUGAUGAAGGUCUUCGGAUCGUAAAACUCUGUUAUUAGGGAAGAACAUAUGUGUAAGUAACUGUGCACAUCUUGACGGUACCUAAUCAGAAAGCCACGGCUAACUACGUG